CGUUCUCGCCGGAUGUAGGAACCGACCCCGGGGGACCGCCGGGGGCAACCCGGCGCCCCCGAGACGGGGCGAACCACGGUGAAAUGACGGAUCGUCGGCCCCGCGCCGGCGACUCGCCGAAUGAGUUUCUGACCUAUCAACUCGAGACGGCGGGGUAGAGGCCCGCCGCGGUAACGACGGGUAACGGGGAAUCAGGGUUCGAUUCCGGAGAGGGAGCCCCGAGAAACGGCUACCACUUCCAAGGAAGGCAGCAGGCGCGCAACUUACCCUAAUCUCGAUUCGAGGAGGUAGUGACAAAAAAUAACAAUACCUGGCCUCAAUAGGUCGGGUAAUUGGAAUGAGUACAAUUUAAAUCCCCUUAACGAGGAUCAAUUGGAGGGCAAGUCUGGUGCCAGCAGCCGCGGUAAUUCCAGCUCCAAGAGCAUAUAUUAAAGUUGUUGCAGUUAAAAAGCUCGUAGUUGA
Molecule: ribosomal RNA, 462 nt
Filed under: uncultured eukaryote
Lineage: Eukaryota
Description: bacterial SSU rRNA
Rfam family: Eukaryotic small subunit ribosomal RNA
Source: RNAcentral